This 253-nucleotide ribosomal RNA is filed under the name uncultured bacterium. RNAcentral describes it as "partial 16S ribosomal RNA". It matches the Rfam family "Bacterial small subunit ribosomal RNA", at positions 524 to 776 of the family's 1533-position model. The record is from RNAcentral.
UACAGAGGUCUCAAGCGUUGUUCGGAUUCAUUGGGCGUAAAGGGUGUGUAGGUGGCGCGCUAAGUCGGGUGUGAAAUUUCGGAGCUUAACUCCGAAACUGCAUUCGAUACUGGCGUGCUUGAGGACUGGAGAGGAGACUGGAAUUCAUGGUGUAGCAGUGAAAUGCGUAGAGAUCAUGAGGAAGACCAGUGGCGAAGGCGGGUCUCUGGACAGUUCCUGACACUGAGGAGCGAAAGCGUGGGGAGCAAACAGG